UACGGAGGGGGCUAGCGUUGUUCGGAAUUACUGGGCGUAAAGCGCACGUAGGCGGCUUUGUAAGUUAGAGGUGAAAGCCCCAGGGCUUAACCCUGGAAUUGCCUUUAAGACUGCAUCGCUAGAAUCGUGGAGAGGUGAGUGGAAUUCCGAGUGUAGAGGUGAAAUUCGUAGAUAUUCGGAAGAACACCGGUGGCGAAGGCGGCCUGCUGGGCAGUUUGCUGACACUGAGGCGCGACAGCGUGGGGAGCAACAGG
This 254-nucleotide ribosomal RNA is filed under the name uncultured bacterium. Its description in RNAcentral is "partial 16S ribosomal RNA". It matches the Rfam family "Bacterial small subunit ribosomal RNA", at positions 524 to 775 of the family's 1533-position model. The record is from RNAcentral.